CUAUUGCUGAAUGCUUAUAAUACUGAAGAAUACUUAACUUUUCCUCCUACUCUCCACUCUCUCAUAUCAAUACAAUAACAACCACGACAUCAAUUUCAGUACCUUGUGUAAUUCACAAACACACAAGCAUAAUCCAAACCCUAAAACAAACAACUUCUAAUCCACAAAAUCUGAUUGAGACAAUUCCUUUGAUUACAAUUCCUC
Molecule: long non-coding RNA, 204 nt
Filed under: Physcomitrium patens
Lineage: Eukaryota; Viridiplantae; Streptophyta; Bryopsida; Funariales; Funariaceae
Description: long non-coding RNA (PPAT_LNC010078)
Source: RNAcentral